Small nucleolar RNA from Rhea pennata, 118 nucleotides. NCBI's taxonomy places the organism in Eukaryota, Metazoa, Chordata, Aves, Rheiformes, Rheidae. The record is from RefSeq and is a predicted model, not a curated record.
UGCCUGUGAUGACUCGCCAUGCUAAUACCGACCGGCCCGUCAGCCAGGGCAAGGGGCCCGGCGCAUCCGGCGGGGCCGGGAUGAGUUGAACCCUCUUCUUGGGAAGAGCUGAAGGCGC